UCCCCUAAAAAUAUUCUCUCCUCAGUUUCGUGCGGCUUUCCUGCUCCUGCCUAACCUGUUACUGCCAUUGCGCGUUGACGUACGGUACUACAUUUGCUCAUUUGAUGAAUACUAUAAAUUUAUUUGGCCAGUGAAGCAAAUAUGUUCAUGAAUGUUUUUCUCUAUGGUUCUCCUUUGGCAAGAAAUUUGAUACAUGUUCCUUCUGAAAAACACUAGGACUUAUUUAUUAAUUAUUAAUCCCAGUGAGACAGCAUGCAAGAUACUCCCUCCGUUUCUAAAUAUAAGUCUUUUUAAACAUUUCAAAUGGACAACAACAUAAGAAUGUAUGUAGACAUAUUUUAGAGUGUAUAUUCACUAAUUUUGCUCCAUAUGUAGUCACUGGUUAGAAUCUUUACAAAGACUUAUAUUUAAGAACGGAGGGAGUACUAUAUAGGAUUCACAUGAGGAAUUUUUCUCUGCGAUUAGUAUGGUAGUGCAAACUAGCACAAAAACAAACAAACAAAAAUGUAGAUAUAUUCAGUAGACAGUACUGUUUCUCGUCAAAAAGAAGAAUAGUAUGGUACUAGUGCUAAGCACACAGGGGUUGUUAUACCAACCAGAUGAAUUUUCCUUUCUGAGAGGACCUACCAGUUGUUGAAAGCAACUUGUAUCCACAUGGUCUGCACUUCAAUAGAGUUAUAGACCUAAGCACUUCAUUACGCGUCUUGCUUUGAGUUAAGUUUGUCGCAAGCCAUCAAGCAAUGUGUUCCUUUGGUUGUGCAGGUUCUAAGCAUGGGAGGAUCGGAACGACGAACAACCACAAGAUCCGUAGAUCGCUUCAGACCUUAAAAGUGAAAGUCAGUCUUUAGGGUUGUGUAAUUGCGUUGGUUUUUCAGUGCUAGGGAGUUGGUGUGUUUGUUAGAAGCUCAGAAUGCAGCUCCUGGCUUGCAAUUCUCGCGUGUCCUAAUCUGUUCUACUAAAGUUUUAUCCUUCGUUCGUCUUACCGUGUAGGUACUGUGCGUCUGAUGUCUGUGUCUUAUAGUCCGAUAAUCUCUUAAUCUCUUGUCAAGAUUGUAGAAUGUAUUUGACUUCCCUAAUAUAUUGGCAUAUUUGUUAAUUUCCUGUGAUUGUAGCUUUUGGCGAGAAUUCAUUUGAGCACUUGAAUUUUUUUUCACAAGUUUAGAAAAUCAACUAAUUAUGGGGUGUCUGGAUCAACAA
RNAcentral lists this long non-coding RNA (1197 nucleotides) under Triticum aestivum (bread wheat). Its description in RNAcentral is "long non-coding RNA (TAES_LNC003328)". The record is from RNAcentral. Lineage: Eukaryota; Viridiplantae; Streptophyta; Magnoliopsida; Poales; Poaceae.